Anopheles arabiensis is the source of this 347-nucleotide long non-coding RNA. RefSeq lists it as uncharacterized. The record is from RefSeq and is a predicted model, not a curated record. The transcript is spliced from 3 exons. Lineage: Eukaryota; Metazoa; Arthropoda; Insecta; Diptera; Culicidae.
GGGAGGGAAUCUGCCUUCGGUUUUGAGGUUUGAGAUUGUCCCGACCCGUUAUCCAUCGGUAGAGUCGAUGCGUUGGUCUGGGUGGUUUGGUGUUCCGGACGUUUCCUCCACAGCAUUUUCCAGCACAAUUUUCCAUAUUCAAAGUGUGUUUGUAUGUGUGUGAAGUGGUAAUGAAUAGAUAGGAGCACCGCUCGUCUCCAUCGCUGCAGGUUGUACGGAAUUUAGUUUCUAUUUUAAUCCACGAAUCGACUUUGAUGACCCAUCGACGACCAAGCCGCCGAGCCUGGCCAAAUCGGCCGUGCUUGCCGCGCUCGAGGAGGAGGAACGCGAAAAGUCGCGCGGCACCG